This is a long non-coding RNA of Gossypium arboreum, 189 nucleotides long. RefSeq lists it as uncharacterized. The record is from RefSeq and is a predicted model, not a curated record. The transcript has 2 exons. NCBI's taxonomy places the organism in Eukaryota, Viridiplantae, Streptophyta, Magnoliopsida, Malvales, Malvaceae.
AUGUAGUGUGUGGAUCUCGUCAGCAUAUCGUCGCAAACAGGUAAUCCCCAAUCAUAGUGGGCUUGGAGCUGUGAGGGAAUUCGGAGUGGCCACCCGUUCUGAAAGUUUGAUUUUCUUCUGGUGAACUGGACAUCCUUUUAAUUACGUUUGAGGUUUUGGGCUUUUAAAUGUAAUAAGGCCGCUUAUUUA